This 499-nucleotide ribosomal RNA is filed under the name uncultured bacterium. RNAcentral's name for it is "partial 16S ribosomal RNA". It matches the Rfam family "Bacterial small subunit ribosomal RNA", at positions 28 to 507 of the family's 1533-position model. The record is from RNAcentral.
GACGAACGCUGGCGGCGUGCCUAAUACAUGCAAGUCGAGCGAAGUUUUUCUGGUGCUUGCACCGGAAAAACUUAGCGGCGAACGGGUGAGUAACACGUAAAGAACCUGCCUCAUAGACUGGGACAACUAUUGGAAACGAUAGCUAAUACCGGAUAACAGCAUUAACUGCAUGGUUGAUGUUUAAAAGUUGGUUUUGCUAACACUAUGAGAUGGCUUUGCGGUGCAUUAGCUAGUUGGUGGGGUAAAGGCCUACCAAGGCGACGAUGCAUAGCCGACCUGAGAGGGUGAUCGGCCACACUGGGACUGAGACACGGCCCAGACUCCUACGGGAGGCAGCAGUAGGGAAUCUUCCGCAAUGGGCGAAAGCCUGACGGAGCAACGCCGCGUGAGUGAAGAAGGAUUUCGGUUCGUAAAGCUCUGUUGUUAGGGAAGAACGAUUGUGUAGUAACGAUACACAGUAGAGACGGUACCUAACCAGAAAGCCACGGCUAACUACGUG